UUAUAUUCUGUAGCAAGGUUAACCGUAUAGGGGAGCCGGAGGGAAACCGAGUCUUAAUUGGGCGUUAAGUUGCAGGGUAUAGACCCGAAACCCGGUGAUCUAGCCAUGGGCAGGUUGAAGGUUGGGUAACACUAACUGGAGGACCGAACCGACUAAUGUUGAAAAAUUAGCGGAUGACCUGUGGCUGGGGGUGAAAGGCCAAUCAAACCGGGAGAUAGCUGGUUCUCCCCGAAAGCUAUUUAGGUAGCGCCUCGUGAAUUCAUCUCCGGGGGUAGAGCACUGUUUCGGCUAGGGGGCCAUCCCGGCUUACCAACCCGAUGCAAACUGCGAAUACCGGAGAAUGUUAUCACGGGAGACACACGGCGGGUGCUAACGUCCGUCGUGAAGAGGGAAACAACCCAGACCGCCAGCUAAGGUCCCAAAGUCAUGGUUAAGUGGGAAACGAUGUGGGAAGGCCCAGACAGCCAGGAUGUUGGCUUAGAAGCAGCCAUCAUUUAAAGAAAGCGUAAUAGCUCACUGGUCGAGUCGGCCUGCGCGGAAGAUGUAACGGGGCUAAACCAUGCACCGAAGCUGCGGCAGCGACGCUGAUGCGUUGUUGGGUAGGGGAGCGUUCUGUAAGCCUGCGAAGGUGACCUGUGAGGGUUGCUGGAGGUAUCAGAAGUGCGAAUGCUGACAUAAGUAACGAUAAAGCG
RNAcentral lists this ribosomal RNA (692 nucleotides) under Salmonella enterica subsp. enterica serovar Typhimurium. Its description in RNAcentral is "bacterial LSU rRNA". It matches the Rfam family "Bacterial large subunit ribosomal RNA", at positions 628 to 1319 of the family's 2925-position model. The record is from RNAcentral. Lineage: Bacteria; Pseudomonadati; Pseudomonadota; Gammaproteobacteria; Enterobacterales; Enterobacteriaceae.